RNAcentral lists this unclassified non-coding RNA (238 nucleotides) under fungal sp. RNAcentral's name for it is "partial internal transcribed spacer region". The stretch from base 1 to 46 matches the Rfam family "Eukaryotic small subunit ribosomal RNA", at positions 1786 to 1831 of the family's 1831-position model. The record is from RNAcentral. Lineage: Eukaryota; Fungi.
AAGUCGUAACAAGGUAACCGUAGGUGAACCUGCGGUUGGAUCAUUAACAAUCAGAGUCUUUGAGACUCUCUGGAUUUACUCCAGUCAACCCCUGUGAAAUGGAUCGAACAAGUGGGACCGGAAGCCCGGGCAAGACAAUUGUCUAGCCUAGUGGAAAGUCCCCCUAUUAAAACUUUUUAAACUAGACUGAAUCAGAGACAAUGAGAAACAACUUUUGACAACGGAUCUCUUGGCUCUC